AUUGAACGCUGGCGGCAGGCUUAACACAUGCAAGUCGAGCGGGGUGAUGGUGCUUGCACUGUCACUUAGCGGCGGACGGGUGAGUAAUGCUUAGGAAUCUGCCUAUUAGUGGGGGACAACAUCUCGAAAGGGAUGCUAAUACCGCAUACGUCCUACGGGAGAAAGCAGGGGAUCACUUGUGACCUUGCGCUACUAGAUGGGCCUAAGUCGGAUUAGCUAGUUGGUGGGGUAAAGGCCUACCAAGGCGACGAUCUGUAGCGGGUCUGAGAGGAUGAUCCGCCACACUGGGACUGAGACACGGCCCAGACUCCUACGGGAGGAAGCAGUGGGGAAUAUUGGACAAUGGGGGGAACCCUGAUCCAGCCAUGCCGCGUGUGUGAAGAAGGCCUUAUGGUUGUAAAGCACUUUAAGCGAGGAGGAGGCUACUUUAGUUAAUACCUAGAGAUAGUGGACGUUACUCGCAGAAUAAGCACCGGCUAACUCUGUGCCAGCCGCCGCGGUAA
RNAcentral lists this ribosomal RNA (503 nucleotides) under uncultured bacterium. RNAcentral describes it as "partial 16S ribosomal RNA". It matches the Rfam family "Bacterial small subunit ribosomal RNA", at positions 30 to 523 of the family's 1533-position model. The record is from RNAcentral.